AUCCUUUGUAGUUCAUAAACAUGAUGACUGGGUGUUCCUGUGCACGUGUGAGAUGUGCCAUCCUCAAAUCUUGUUAUGAUGCUGGUAUAUUACCUACCUGAUG
Molecule: small nucleolar RNA, 103 nt
Organism: Saimiri boliviensis boliviensis (Bolivian squirrel monkey)
Lineage: Eukaryota; Metazoa; Chordata; Mammalia; Primates; Cebidae
Product: small nucleolar RNA U13
Source: RefSeq, a predicted model, not a curated record